UAGUUGGUGGGGUAAAGGCCCACCAAGGCGACGAUCAGUAGCUGGUCUGAGAGGACGACCAGCCACACUGGAACUGAGACACGGUCCAGACUCCUACGGGAGGCAGCAGUGGGGAAUUUUGGACAAUGGGCGCAAGCCUGAUCCAGCCAUUCCGCGUGAGUGAAGAAGGCCUUCGGGUUGUAAAGCUCUUUCGCAAGGGAAGAAAGAUUACUCUCUAACAUAGAGUGAUUAUGACGGUACCUUGAUAAGAAGCACCGGCUAACUACGUGCCAGCAGCCGCGGUAAUACGUAGGGUGCGAGCGUUAAUCGGAAUUACUGGGCGUAAAGCGUGUGCAGGCUGUUUUGUAAGUCAGAUGUGAAAUCCCCGAGCUCAACUUGGGAACUGCGUUUGAAACUACAAGACUAGAAUAGGUCAGAGGGGGGUAGAAUUCCACGUGUAGCAGUGAAAUGCGUAGAGAUGUGGAGGAAUAUCAAUGGCGAAGGCAGCCCCCUGGGAUCAUAUUGACGCUCAUGCACGAAAGCGUGGGGAGCAAACAGGAUUAGAUACCCUGGUAGUCCACGCCCUAAACGAUGUCAACUAGUUGUUGGUAGAGUAAAAUCUAUGAGUAACGCAGCUAACGCGUGAAGUUGACCGCCUGGGGAGUACGAUCGCAAGAUUAAAACUCAAAUGAAUUGACGGGGGCCCGCACAAGCGGUGGAUUAUGUGGAUUAAUUCGAUGCAACGCGAAAAACCUUACCUGGCCUUGACAUGUACGGAACUUUCCAGAGAUGGAUUGGUGCUCGAAAGAGAACCGUAACACAGGUGCUGCAUGGCUGUCGUCAGCUCGCGUCGUGAGAUGUUGGGUUAAGUCCCGCAACGAGCGCAACCCUUGCCAAUAAUUGCCAUCAUUUAGUUGGGCACUUUAUUGGGACUGCCGA
RNAcentral lists this ribosomal RNA (918 nucleotides) under uncultured bacterium. Its description in RNAcentral is "bacterial SSU rRNA". It matches the Rfam family "Bacterial small subunit ribosomal RNA", at positions 246 to 1155 of the family's 1533-position model. The record is from RNAcentral.